UACAGGUGGUGCAUGGCUGUCGUCAGCUCGUGUCGUGAGAUGUUGGGUUAAGUCCCGCAACGAGCGCAACCCUAUCUUAUGUUGCCAGCACGUUAUGUGGGGACUCGUAAGAGACUGCCGGGGUCGAACUCGGAGGAAGGUGGGGACGACGUCAAGUCAUCAUGCCCCUUAUGUCCAGGGCUUCACACAUGCUACAAUGGCCAGUACAGAGGGCUGCGAGACCGUGAGGUGGAGCGAAUCCCUUAAGGCUGGUCUCAGUUCGGAUCGGGGUCUGCAACUCGACCCCGUGAAGUCGGAGUCGCUAGUAAUCGCAGAUCAGCAACGCUGCGGUGAAUACGUUCCCGGGCCUU
RNAcentral lists this ribosomal RNA (350 nucleotides) under uncultured Rhodococcus sp. Its description in RNAcentral is "bacterial SSU rRNA". It matches the Rfam family "Bacterial small subunit ribosomal RNA", at positions 1033 to 1382 of the family's 1533-position model. Lineage: Bacteria; Bacillati; Actinomycetota; Actinomycetes; Mycobacteriales; Nocardiaceae. The record is from RNAcentral.